ACAGAGCCAGGCUGACGUAGAACACUUCUCUACUAGACUUUUUGUAUUUUCCAACUUUUGGAUGAAAGAGAGACGUAGCAGAAACCCAACAAUUACAGAGAGCCUGGCACAUGAUUCUACAAAGCAGUGUUUUCAAAUGGCUGACUCCAAAGAAAUGUGUAACUCUGUGAAAUGAAUGCAGACAUCACAAAGCAUUUGCUCAGAAAGCUUCUUUCUGGUUUUUAUCUGAAGAUAUUUCCUUCUUUACCAUCAGCCUCAAUGUGCUCCCAAAUAUCCCUUCGCAGGUUCUACUGAAACAGUGUUGCCAAACUGCUGGAUAGAAUAAAGGUUUAACUCUGUGGCGUGAAUGCACACAUCAGAAAGCGGUUUCUCAGACAGCUUUCUUCUGGUUUUCAUCCUGGGAUAUUCACUUUUUCGCCAUUGGUCUCAAU
Molecule: long non-coding RNA, 431 nt
Filed under: Homo sapiens (human)
Lineage: Eukaryota; Metazoa; Chordata; Mammalia; Primates; Hominidae
Description: non-protein coding lnc-ZNF680-11:1
Source: RNAcentral